UAUUUCGGAGUUUUGUGUAUCUAUGACUAUAUAUAUAUUAAUUACACAAUUUGCCUCUACAUAUUUAGUCGUGUCUAUCUAUGACUCUAUGUAUUAGACAAUCUGCCUCUAAAUUUUUAGUCCUGUCUAUCUGUGACUCUCUCUAUAUAUAUAUAUAUUACACAAUCUGCCUCUACAUAUUUAGUCGUGCCUCUCUACGUAUAUAGUCGUGCCUCUACAUAUCUAGUUGUGUGUAUUUAUUUCUUAGUGGUGUAUAUGUAUUUGUUUUAAGGGUUUUUGAAGUGGACCCAUUGGAGCUCUCUGCACUCCAACUCUGAAAGGUGGUGAAGGUAGGCCACGGCUGCUUGUUCAUGAAUACCCCUAGUUACGCAGAAUGAUCAUAUAUAAUAAGAGUGCGUAGUCUAAAGGUUUGCAUGAACUGGGAGACGAGGUUACCUGAUCUUUUUGGUAUUGGAGUGAAGGGAGCUCCCAUGGCCUCUACGUGUGUGAUGUGAUAGAUAUAAAUCUCUCUAUGAUUGUCUUUCUUUCUUGUUACCAUAUAGAUUUAUUUAUUUAUUUUGUCUUUUUUUUUUUUUUUUGGUUUGUAUUUCCUGGUUCAAUCCAAGCAUCUUCAUGGCCUAGCCAGGGAACAAAAAAAAAAAAAAAAAAUAACUCUGAAUAUUAAUUAAUUUAUAACCAAUUCUGUUUUCAUUGAUGGAAUUCUUUUAUUGUUGCAGGGCACUGAUCAGCAGGUUUGGAUUCGCUCUGCAUAUGAAAUCUUCUUCAAGUUGAUUGAGACUCAAAAGCCAGCCAUCUUUGGAGAAGCCAUAUUAUAGAUUCUCAUGGUAAACAGUGUCUUUGGAGGAGCUGCCAAUGUAUCAGCUAGUUCUUUUUAAUGAAAGUAUUUUGUAUUGUAUAUCUCUAAGAAAUUCAGAAGAAUACACAGGAAUCAUAUAAAUUUUUAUUAA
Long non-coding RNA from Quercus robur (English oak), 947 nucleotides. RefSeq lists it as uncharacterized. The record is from RefSeq and is a predicted model, not a curated record. NCBI's taxonomy places the organism in Eukaryota, Viridiplantae, Streptophyta, Magnoliopsida, Fagales, Fagaceae. The transcript is spliced from 2 exons.